GGCUCAUGCCGGGCAGCUACACAUGCAAGUCGAGCGGAAACGAGUUAUCUGAACCUUCGGGGAACGAUAACGGCGUCGAGCGGCGGACGGGUGAGUAAUGCCUAGGAAAUUGCCCUGAUGUGGGGGAUAACCAUUGGAAACGAUGGCUAAUACCGCAUGAUGCCUACGGGCCAAAGAGGGGGACCUUCGGGCCUCUCGCGUCAGGAUAUGCCUAGGUGGGAUUAGCUAGUUGGUGAGGUAAGGGCUCACCAAGGCGACGAUCCCUAGCUGGUCUGAGAGGAUGAUCAGCCACACUGGAACUGAGACACGGUCCAGACUCCUACGGGAGGCAGCAGUGGGGAAUAUUGCACAAUGGGCGCAAGCCUGAUGCAGCCAUGCCGCGUGUGUGAAGAAGGCCUUCGGGUUGUAAAGCACUUUCAGUCGUGAGGAAGGUAGUGUAGUUAAUAGCUGCAUUAUUUGACGUUAGCGACAGAAGAAGCACCGGCUAACUCUGUGCCAGCAGCCGC
This 506-nucleotide ribosomal RNA is filed under the name Vibrio alginolyticus. RNAcentral describes it as "bacterial SSU rRNA". It matches the Rfam family "Bacterial small subunit ribosomal RNA", at positions 35 to 518 of the family's 1533-position model. Lineage: Bacteria; Pseudomonadati; Pseudomonadota; Gammaproteobacteria; Vibrionales; Vibrionaceae. The record is from RNAcentral.